Molecule: ribosomal RNA, 450 nt
Filed under: uncultured bacterium
Lineage: Bacteria
Description: partial 16S ribosomal RNA
Rfam family: Bacterial small subunit ribosomal RNA
Source: RNAcentral
GUGGGGAAUAUUGGACAAUGGGCGAAAGCCUGAUCCAGCCAUGCCGCGUGUGUGAAGAAGGUCUUCGGAUUGUAAAGCACUUUAAGUUGGGAGGAAGGGCAGUAAGUUAAUACCUUGCUGUUUUGACGUUACCGACAGAAUAAGCACCGGCUAACUCCGUGCCAGCAGCCGCGGUAAUACGAAGGGUGCAAGCGUUAAUCGGAAUCACUGGGCGUAAAGAGCGCGUAGGUGGUUUUGUAAGUUGGAGGUGAAAUCCCCGGGCUCAACCUGGGAACUGCCUCCAAAACUGCAUGACUAGAAUACGGUAGAGGGUAGUGGAAUUUCCUGUGUAGCGGUGAAAUGCGUAGAUAUAGGAAGGAACACCAGUGGCGAAGGCGACUACCUGGACUGAUACUGACACUGAGGUGCGAAAGCGUGGGGAGCAAACAGGAUUAGAUACCCCAGUAGUCC